Molecule: ribosomal RNA, 460 nt
Filed under: uncultured bacterium
Lineage: Bacteria
Description: partial 16S ribosomal RNA
Rfam family: Bacterial small subunit ribosomal RNA
Source: RNAcentral
CCUACGGGAGGCAGCAGUGAGGAAUAUUGGUCAAUGGACGAGAGUCUGAACCAGCCAAGUCGCGUGAAGGAUGACUGCCCUAUGGGUUGUAAACUUCUUUUAUAUGGGAAUAAAACGUUCCACGUGUGGGAUUUUGUAUGUACCAUAUUAAUAAGGAUCGGCUAACUCCGUGCCAGCAGCCGCGGUAAUACGGAGGAUCCGAGCGUUAUCCGGAUUUAUUGGGUUUAAGGGGAGCGUAGGGUGUUUUUUAAGUAAGUUGUGAAAGUUUGGGGCUCAACCGUAAAAUUGCAGUUGAAACUGGCAGUCUUGAGUACAGUAGAGGUGGGCGGAAUUCGUGGUGUAGCGGUGAAAUGCUUAGAUAUCACGAAGAACUCCGAUGGCGAAGGCAGUUCACUGGACUGCAACUGACACUGAGGCUCGAAAGUGUGGGUAUCAAACAGGAUUAGAUACCCCAGUAGUC